CCUACGGGAGGCUGCAGUGGGGAGUAUUGGACAAUGGGGGCAACCCUGAUCCAGCCAUGCCGCGUGUGUGAAGGAGGCCCUCGGGUUGUAAAGCACUUUCAGUGAGGAAGAACGCCUGGUGGUUAAUACCCAUCAGGAAAGACAUCACUCACAGAAGAAGCACCGGCUAACUCCGUGCCAGCAGCCGCGGUAAUACGGAGGGUGCGAGCGUUAAUCGGAAUUACUGGGCGUAAAGCGCGCGUAGGUGGCUUGAUAAGCCGGUUGUGACAGCCCCGGGCUCAACCUGGGAACGGCAUCCGGAGCUGUCCAGGUAGAGGGCAGGAGAGGAAGGUAGAAUUCCCGGGGUAGCGGUGAAAUGCGUAGAGAUCGGGAGGAAUGCCAGUGGCGAAGGCGGGCUUCUGGACUGACAGUGACACUGAGGUGCGAAAGCGUGGGUAGCAGACAGGAUUAGAUACCCCUGGAGUC
This 465-nucleotide ribosomal RNA is filed under the name Vreelandella stevensii. RNAcentral's name for it is "partial 16S ribosomal RNA". It matches the Rfam family "Bacterial small subunit ribosomal RNA", at positions 338 to 795 of the family's 1533-position model. The record is from RNAcentral. Lineage: Bacteria; Pseudomonadati; Pseudomonadota; Gammaproteobacteria; Oceanospirillales; Halomonadaceae.